RNAcentral lists this ribosomal RNA (497 nucleotides) under uncultured bacterium. Its description in RNAcentral is "partial 16S ribosomal RNA". It matches the Rfam family "Bacterial small subunit ribosomal RNA", at positions 28 to 507 of the family's 1533-position model. The record is from RNAcentral.
GAUGAACGCUGGCGGCGUGCCUAAUACAUGCAAGUCGAGCGAACAGACGAGGAGCUUACUCCUCUGACGUUAGCGGCGGACGGGUGAGUAACACGUGGAUAACCUACCUAUAAGACUGGGAUAACUUCGGGAAAGCGGAGCUAAUACCGGAUAACAUGUUGAACCGCAUGGUUCAACAGUGAAAGACGGUCUUGCUGUCACUUAUAGAUGGAUCCGCGUCGCAUUAGCUAGUUCGUAAGGUAACGGCUUACCAAGGCAACGAUGCGUAGCCGGCCUGAGAGGACGAACAGCCACACUGGGACUGAGACAAGGCCCAGACUCCUACGGGAGGCAGGAGGGGGGAAUUUUGGACAAUGGGCGAAAGCCCGAUCGAGCAAUGCCGCGGGUGGGAAGAAGGCCUUCGGGUUGGAAAACACUUUUGUCCGGAAAGAAAUAAUUGACUCUAAAACAGUCGGGGUAUGACGGUACCCGAAGAAUAAGCACCGGCUAACUUCGGG